UACAGAGACUGCAAGCGUUAUUCGGAUUCACUGGGCGUAAAGGGUGCGCAGGCGGUCGGGUGUGUCAGAUGUGAAAUCCCACGGCUCAACCGUGGAACUGCUGGGUAUACUGGUUGUCUUGAGCCAGCUAGGGGCGAGCGGAACAGACGGUGGAGCGGUGAAAUGCGUAGAUAUCGUCUGGAACGCCGAAGGUGAAAACAGCUCGCUGGGGCUGCGCUGACGCUGAGACACGAAAGCCAGGGGAGCGAACGGG
Molecule: ribosomal RNA, 253 nt
Filed under: uncultured bacterium
Lineage: Bacteria
Description: partial 16S ribosomal RNA
Rfam family: Bacterial small subunit ribosomal RNA
Source: RNAcentral